GCCGAUAGGCGUAGGCGAUGGACAACAGGUAGAGAAUCCUGAACCAGUGCUAAUAGUUUAACCGAUGGGGUGACACAGAAGGAUAGGGAAUCGCACGAAUGGAAAUGAGCGUCCAAGCAGUGAGUGAGAGAAGUAGGCAAAUCCGCUUCUCGCGAAGCAUGAGCUGAGAUGGGGAAGGAAAUUAAGUACGGAAGAUCCUGAUUUCACGCUGUCAAGAAAAGCCUCAAGGAA
RNAcentral lists this ribosomal RNA (231 nucleotides) under Listeria monocytogenes. Its description in RNAcentral is "partial 23S ribosomal RNA". It matches the Rfam family "Bacterial large subunit ribosomal RNA", at positions 1401 to 1628 of the family's 2925-position model. The record is from RNAcentral. Lineage: Bacteria; Bacillati; Bacillota; Bacilli; Caryophanales; Listeriaceae.